ACGUUUUAGCGUUUUCAUAUUUACGUUCAUAUUUUCCCAAAGGGACAGUUUUGAGUUUUUUCCAGUUAUCAAUUAAAUUUUUCGAUACCAAUAAAUGAUACCAACAAAAGACGACUUUAAAAGCCUUUUGACUCCUACAAUUCCCGGGUCCUUUCAUAGUCCCAGUCCGCCCCUGCACAAUAGAAUCCUUACGUAAGUAGGAAACAUCGCCGGACAACAUUUAUCAAGGAAAAAAGGAAACGUAACCGAGGAAAUUGAAACGAUAUAUUAGACAUCGCGUCACAUUUCGUAUCAUUUUUUAAGACCUUCACGAUAGCGGGUUUUGGCUGCGUACGAUAUCGUCAUCAACACGUUCCAUUCCAUUUGAUCGACUCUGAGAACUAUUGGAUUCUGCCAAAUACGUUUAUUUUAUGGACAAACGCAAAAAAUAAACCAAAAUCUUUUAGAAUGUUUCACAUAAAGAAAUAGGAGAUACUUUAAAAGAGAAUUAACUUCCAGUGGUGUUCGCGUUUUUAAUCUUUCAAAAUCGAUAAAAACUUUAUUACUGCGAUGAAGCUAAGUUGAAAUUAAGUUAGUGGGAAAAGUAAAAAGUUUCCUUUCAACUUGCCUUCAUUAGACUGAAAACUUUUGCGGUAUAAAGUCAAUUAUAAUAGAUCAAAUACUGAUUCUGCAACUAAAGAUUGAGUAAUUAUUACUUUUAUAACGGGGUAGGUAUUAGAAAUAUUCUUCUAUAAAUAUUUAAAAGAAGA
This is a long non-coding RNA of Agrilus planipennis (emerald ash borer), 749 nucleotides long. RefSeq lists it as uncharacterized. Lineage: Eukaryota; Metazoa; Arthropoda; Insecta; Coleoptera; Buprestidae. The transcript is spliced from 3 exons. The record is from RefSeq and is a predicted model, not a curated record.